UCGAGAAUCUUCGGCAAUGGGGGCAACCCUGACCGAGCGACGCCGCGUGUGGGAUGAAGGCCCUUGGGUUGUAAACCACUGUCAGAGGGGAUGAAGUGCAUGGGGGUUCUCCCCUGUGUUUGACAUAGCCUCAGAGGAAGCACGGGCUAAGUUCGUGCCAGCAGCCGCGGUAAGACGAACUGUGCAAACGUUAUUCGGAAUCACUGGGCUUGAAGAGUGCGUAGGCGGUUUCGUAAGUAGGGUGUGAAAGCCCCCGGCUCAACCGGGGAACUGCGUCCUAAACUGCGGGGCUGGAGUGAGGUAGGGGUGUGUGGAACUUCCAGUGGAGCGGUGAAAUGUGUUGAUAUUGGAAGGAACGCCGGUGGCGAAAGCGACACACUGGGCCUUGUCUGACGCUGAGGCACGAAAGCCAGGGGAGCAAACG
Molecule: ribosomal RNA, 424 nt
Filed under: uncultured Planctomyces sp.
Lineage: Bacteria; Pseudomonadati; Planctomycetota; Planctomycetia; Planctomycetales; Planctomycetaceae
Description: bacterial SSU rRNA
Rfam family: Bacterial small subunit ribosomal RNA
Source: RNAcentral